UACUCAGUUCGGAUUGUAGGCUGCAACCCGCCUACAUGAAGUCGGAAUUGCUAGUAAUCGUGGAUCAGCAUGCCACGGUGAAUACGUUCCCGGGCCUUGUACACACCGCCCGUCAAACCAUGAGAGUUGGCAACACCCGAAGCCUGUAGCUUAACCGCAAGGAUGGCGCAGUCGAAGGUGGGGUCGAUGAUUAGGGUUAAGUCGUAACAAGGUAAC
Molecule: ribosomal RNA, 216 nt
Filed under: uncultured bacterium
Lineage: Bacteria
Description: partial 16S ribosomal RNA
Rfam family: Bacterial small subunit ribosomal RNA
Source: RNAcentral